This 811-nucleotide ribosomal RNA is filed under the name Bacillus sp. MB366. Its description in RNAcentral is "bacterial LSU rRNA". It matches the Rfam family "Bacterial large subunit ribosomal RNA", at positions 1186 to 1980 of the family's 2925-position model. Lineage: Bacteria; Bacillati; Bacillota; Bacilli; Caryophanales; Bacillaceae. The record is from RNAcentral.
ACCAUGCACCGAAGCUGCGGCAGCGACACUAUGUGUUGUUGGGUAGGGGAGCGUUCUGUAAGCCUGCGAAGGUGGCCUGUGAGGGUUGCUGGAGGUAUCAGAAGUGCGAAUGCUGACAUAAGUAACGAUAAAGCGGGUGAAAAGCCCGCUCGCCGGAAGACCAAGGGUUCCUGUCCAACGUUAAUCGGGGCAGGGUGAGUCGACCCCUAAGGCGAGGCCGAAAGGCGUAGUCGAUGGGAAACAGGUUAAUAUUCCUGUACUUGGUGUUACUGCGAAGGGGGGACGGAGAAGGCUAUGUUAGCCGGGCGACGGUUGUCCCGGUUUAAGCAUGUAGGCUGGUUAUCCAGGCAAAUCCGGAUAAUCAAGGCUGAGGUGUGAUGACGAGGCACUACGGUGCUGAAGUAACAAAUGCCCUGCUUCCAGGAAAAGACUCUAAGCAUCAGGUAACAUCAAAUCGUACCCCAAACCGACACAGGUGGUCAGGUAGAGAAUACCAAGGCGCUUGAGAGAACUCGGGUGAAGGAACUAGGCAAAAUGGUGCCGUAACUUCGGGAGAAGGCACGCUGGUGUGUAGGUGAAGUCCCUGCGGAUGGAGCUGAGACCAGUCGAAGAUACCAGCUGGCUGCAACUGUUUAUUAAAAACACAGCACUGUGCAAACACGAAAGUGGACGUAUACGGUGUGACGCCUGCCCGGUGCCGGAAGGUUAAUUGAUGGGGUUAUCCGUAAGGAGAAGCUCUUGAUCGAAGCCCCAGUAAACGGCGGCCGUAACUAUAACGGUCCUAAGGUAGCGAAAUUCCUUGUCGGGUAAG